This 415-nucleotide unclassified non-coding RNA is filed under the name Hevea brasiliensis (rubber tree). The record is from RNAcentral. Lineage: Eukaryota; Viridiplantae; Streptophyta; Magnoliopsida; Malpighiales; Euphorbiaceae.
GGGGGGCGGCGGCGGGGCGCGGGGGGGGUUGUGGGCGGGCCGCGCGGUGGGGGUUGGGGGGAAGGGGAGGAGAGGAGGGGAAGAGUUGGUUGGGUGUGUUGGGAGUGGAGAAUAAUGUAGCUAAGGUUGAAAUUGCCUAAAUCCAUGUCCCUGAUAUGGUCAUACAUUCGGGGUAAGCAAACGCAGCACAAACCUCAAAGUCUCAAACAAACACAAAAUAUUUGAAAAGAUACAGGAGAGAGAGAUCUGCACCACUUAAAUCUCACCACUGACGUACAAGGGAUGGAAUUGAUAGCAGAUAACAAAGAGGAUUCAGCUAGCACUAGCAACAAGACAUACUUUUGAGAAAUGCAUGAAUACUUUAAUUAAUUAUAAAGCAAAAGUCUAAUAAGUUUAAUAAGAAUGGAGAGUACCU